Molecule: long non-coding RNA, 1947 nt
Filed under: Salmo salar (Atlantic salmon)
Lineage: Eukaryota; Metazoa; Chordata; Actinopteri; Salmoniformes; Salmonidae
Description: lncRNA (ENSSSAG00000117486.1)
Rfam family: UnaL2 LINE 3' element (bases 1510-1564)
Source: RNAcentral
CUCCUAUUAAAACACUGUUGGAGUUUCCUUUAUUCUGCCAGUUACCUGGUGGACGACCCGACCUCCUAUUAAAACACUGUUGGUGUUUCCUUUAUUCUGCCAGUUACCUGGUGGUUGGUGGAGGACCUGGAGUUUCCUUUAUUCUGCCAGUUACCUGGUGGACGACCCGACCUCCUAUUAAAACACUGUUGGAGUUUCCUUUAUUCUGCCAGUUACCUGGUGGUUGGUGGAGGACCUGGAGUUUCCUUUAUUCUGCCAGUUACCUGGUGGAGGACCCGACCUCCUAUUAAAACACUUUAUGUUGCUGUUUCCUUCACAAGGUUCAUUUCCAUCUUGCUGUUUGUUGAAAGGUCAAGAUGUUUGGAUGUGUAUUUUAUUCUUCUGAUUGUUACAGAUUGGCUAAAUGCAGACAAAAUGCAACCCAAAACAGUCUUACCACAGUGUGCUUAUUGUGUGUGUGUGUGUGUGUGUGUGUGUGUGCGUGUGCUUAUUGUGUGUGUGUGUGUGUUGCGUCAGGUCUGCUUUCACCUAGUUAUGUAUAGCUGUUGUGUUUCAAUGUCAAAGUAUUAUUCAGGUCCUGAGGGCCAAAACAUUUCUGCUUUCUCUUCCUACCUGAUGUCCCCAGGUCUGAAUGAGUCUCUCUACCUGAUGUCCCCAGGUCUGAAUGAGUCUCUCUACCUGAUGUCCCCAGGUCUGAAUGAGUCUCUCUACCUGAUGUCCCCAGGUCUGAAUUAGUCUCUCUACCUGAUGUCCCCAGGUCUGAAUGAGUCUCAGGUCUGAAUGAGUCUCUCUACCUGAUGUCCCCAGGUCUGAAUGAGUCUCUCUACCUGAUGUCCCCAGGUCUGAAUGAGUCUCAGGUCUGAAUGAGUCUCUCUACCUGAUGUCCCCAGGUCUGAAUGAGUCUCUCUACCUGAUGUCCCCAGGUCUGAACGAGUCUCUCUACCUGAUGUCCCCAGGUCUGAACGAGUCUCUCUACCUGAUGUCCCCAGGUCUGAAUGAGUCUCUCUACCUGAUGUCCCCAGGUCUGAAUGAGUCUCUCUACCUGAUGUCCCCAGGUCUGAAUGAGUCUCAACCUGUUGUCCCCAGAUCUGAACGAGUCUCGGGUCUGAACGAGUCUCGGAUUACAGGUAGAGGAUGAGAACCAGUAGUGUUUCGUCCCUCCAGGACCAGAAAGAAAUAGCCCUUGGCUAGAUUCAAUCUGAUCCGCAGAAGAUCCGGGUUAUAGUUCACCUUUAAAAAAAACCAAAAAGGUAAUUUACGAUUGAGCCUACUGUUAACGUGGAAACUUUACCUUUUAAUAAGGUGCACAGCCGAAAAGAGGAGAUCGGAUUUGAAUCUAGGAACAGCUUCCUCCCUCCCUCCAGUCCUAACGAGGGGUGAGAGAUAUAUAUAUAUAUGGGUCCCGUGUGGCUCAGUUGGUAGAGCAUGGGUGUUUGCAACGCCAGGGUUGUGGGUUCGAUUCCCACGGGGGACCAAUACGUGGGGGGGGGGGGAAAUGUCUGAAAUGUAUGCAUUCACUACUGUAAGUCGCUCUGGAUAAGAGCGUCUGCUAAAAUAACUAAAAUGUAAAUGUUAAUAACUGAUCUAGGAUCAGUUUCCUCCCUCCAGUCCUAACAGGUCACCAUUAGAGAGGUGAUAUAUAUAUAUAUAUAUAUACUGAUCUAGGAUCAGUCCUAACAGGUCACCAUUAGAGAGGUGAUAUAUAUAUAUAUAUAACUGAUCUAGGAUCAGUCCUAACGGGUCACCAUUAGAGAGGUGAUAUAUAUAACUGAUCUAGGAUCAGUCCUAACAGGUCACCAUUAGAGAGGUGAUAUAUAUAUAUAUAUAUAUAUAUAUAACUGAACUAGGACCAGUGUUAAACAGAGCUGAAUGUCUGUCUGGUUCAUACCAUUUAUGAUGCUGAUGUAUUGUUAUUAUAAUGACAUUAAAUUAUUGAAUGUUUCUGUC